AGUUUACUGGAAGUCCUGWUCAUUCCUCUGAGCCUGUUGGUGGUGUUGAUAGCUGUUACCUUGGUCACAUUGAAGAUGUUGAGAAAACAUAAGGACAAGAAGGCAAAGGACCAACCACCAAACACCUCAGUACAGCCUGCUGACCCUGAGCAGGACAUUACCUACAGCACUGUGAGUCACAUCAGAGGAACAGCACAACAGGACCUAAACCCAGAGAGACAUGGUGACUUAUACAGCAAUGUGAUUCCUAUGCAGCACUGGACGGCACAAAGGCAGGACCCAUUUCCGGAUGAU
This is a long non-coding RNA of Salvelinus sp. IW2-2015, 294 nucleotides long. RefSeq lists it as uncharacterized. The record is from RefSeq and is a predicted model, not a curated record. Lineage: Eukaryota; Metazoa; Chordata; Actinopteri; Salmoniformes; Salmonidae.